Molecule: ribosomal RNA, 814 nt
Filed under: uncultured bacterium
Lineage: Bacteria
Description: bacterial SSU rRNA
Rfam family: Bacterial small subunit ribosomal RNA
Source: RNAcentral
CAAGUCGAACGGGCAUCUUCGUUUGUCUGUGGCCGACGGGUGAGGAACACGUGGGAACAUGCCCUUCGGUUCGGAAUAACUCAGGGAAACUUGAGCUAAUGCCGGAUACGCCCGAUAGGGGAAAGAUUUGUUGCCGAAGGAUUGGCCCGCGUCUGAUUAGCUAGUUGGUGAGGUAACGGCUCACCAAUGCGACGAUCGGUACCUGGCCUGAGAGGAUGAUCAGCCACGUUGGGACUGAGACACGGCCCACACUCCUACGGGAGGCAGCAGAGGGGAAUAUUGGACAAUGGGCGAAAGCCUGAUCCAGCCAUGCCGCGUGAGUGAUGAAGGCCUUAUGGUUGUAAAGCUCUUUUAUCCGGCAAGAUAAUGACUGUACCGGGAGAAUAAGCCCCGGCUAACUUCUAGCCUGCAGCCGCGGGAAUACGAAGGGGGCUAGCGUUGCUCGGAAUCGCUGGGCGUAAAGGGCGCGUAGGCGGAUGAUUAAGUCGGAGGUGAAAGCCCAGGGCUCAACCCUGGAAUUGCCUACGAUACUGAUCGUCUCGAGAAUGGAAGAUGUAAGUGGAAUACCGAGUGUAGAGGUGAAAUUCGUAGAUAUUCGAUGGACACACCAGUGGCUCAUGCGACUUACUGGUCCAUUUCUGACGCUGAGGCGCGAAAGCGUGGGGAUCAAACGGGAUUAGAUACCCUGGUAGUCCACGCCAUAAACGAUGAAUGCCAGCCGAUGGGGAGCUUGCUCUUCACUGGCGCAGCUAACGCUUUAAGCAUUCUGCCUGCGGAGUACUGUCGCAAGAUUAAAACUAACAUGAAUUGACGG